AGGACGAACGCUGGCGGCGUGCCUAACACAUGCAAGUCGAGCGAGAGUUUCGCAGCGGAAUCCUUCGGGAGGAAGCAGUGAAAGGAAAGCGGCGGACGGGUGAGUAACGCGUGAGUAACCUGCCUUCAGGAGGGGGAUAACAUUCCGAAAGGGGUGCUAAUACCGCAUGACAUUGUUUUUCUGCAUGGAAGAACAAUCAAAGAUUUAUCGCCUGAAGAUGGACUCGCGUCUGAUUAGAUAGUUGGUGGGGUAAAGGCCUACCAAGUCGACGAUCAGUAGCCGAACUGAGAGGUUGAUCGGCCACAUUGGGACUGAGACACGGCCCAGACUCCUACGGGAGGCAGCAGUGGGGGAUAUUGCGCAAUGGGGGGAACCCUGACGCAGCAACGCCGCGUGAAGGAAGAAGGUUUUCGGAUCGUAAACUUCUUUAAGUUGGGAAGAUAAUGACGGUACCAACAGAAUAAGCCACGGCUAACUACGUG
Molecule: ribosomal RNA, 482 nt
Filed under: uncultured bacterium
Lineage: Bacteria
Description: bacterial SSU rRNA
Rfam family: Bacterial small subunit ribosomal RNA
Source: RNAcentral